Molecule: ribosomal RNA, 253 nt
Filed under: uncultured bacterium
Lineage: Bacteria
Description: partial 16S ribosomal RNA
Rfam family: Bacterial small subunit ribosomal RNA
Source: RNAcentral
UACGAAGGGGGCUAGCGUUGCUCGGAAUCACUGGGCGUACAGCGCACGUAGGCGGCUUUCUAAGUCAGGGGUGAAAUCCUGGAGCUCAACUCCAGAACUGCCUUUGAUACUGCAAAUCUCGAGUCCGGAAGAGGUGAGUGGAAUUCCUAGUGUAGAGGUGAAAUUCGUAGAUAUUAGGAAGAACACCAGUGGCGAAGGCGGCUCACUGGUCCGGUACUGACGCUGAGGUGCGAAAGCGUGGGGAGCAAACAGG